This 554-nucleotide ribosomal RNA is filed under the name uncultured bacterium. RNAcentral describes it as "partial 16S ribosomal RNA". It matches the Rfam family "Bacterial small subunit ribosomal RNA", at positions 355 to 900 of the family's 1533-position model. The record is from RNAcentral.
UAGGGAAUCUUCGGCAAUGGGGGCAACCCUGACCGAGCAACGCCGCGUGAGUGAAGAAGGUUUUCGGAUCGUAAAGCUCUGUUGUAAGUCAAGAACGGGUGUGAGAGUGGAAAGUUCACACUGUGACGGUAGCUUACCAGAAAGGGACGGCUAACUACGUGCCAGCAGCCGCGGUAAUACGUAGGUCCCGAGCGUUGUCCGGAUUUAUUGGGCGUAAAGCGAGCGCAGGCGGUUUGAUAAGUCUGAAGUUAAAGGCUGUGGCUCAACCAUAGUUCGCUUUGGAAACUGUCAAACUUGAGUGCAGAAGGGGAGAGUGGAAUUCCAUGUGUAGCGGUGAAAUGCGUAGAUAUAUGGAGGAACACCGGUGGCGAAAGCGGCUCUCUGGUCUGUAACUGACGCUGAGGCUCGAAAGCGUGGGGAGCGAACAGGAUUAGAUACCCUGGUAGUCCACGCCGUAAACGAUGAGUGCUAGGUGUUGGAUCCUUUCCGGGAUUCAGUGCCGCAGCUAACGCAUUAAGCACUCCGCCUGUGGAGUACGACCGCAAGGUUGAAAC